RNAcentral lists this transfer RNA (77 nucleotides) under Rhodospirillaceae bacterium. RNAcentral's name for it is "tRNA-Arg". It matches the Rfam family "tRNA". Rfam says of the family: Transfer RNA (tRNA) molecules are approximately 80 nucleotides in length. Their secondary structure includes four short double-helical elements and three loops (D, anti-codon, and T loops). RNAcentral also lists the same sequence under 6 other names. Lineage: Bacteria; Pseudomonadati; Pseudomonadota; Alphaproteobacteria; Rhodospirillales; Rhodospirillaceae. The record is from RNAcentral.
GACUCCGUAGCUCAACUGGAUAGAGCAGCUGCCUUCUAAGCAGCAGGUUGCAGGUUCGAGUCCUGCCGGGGUCGCCA